RNAcentral lists this long non-coding RNA (308 nucleotides) under Helianthus annuus (common sunflower). RNAcentral's name for it is "sRNA HanXRQr2_Chr15g0680871". Lineage: Eukaryota; Viridiplantae; Streptophyta; Magnoliopsida; Asterales; Asteraceae. The record is from RNAcentral.
CCUCCAAGCGUCCGUUUUCCAUGGUCAAUGAGAGUGUAGCCUGUCCUUCCUUCUUCUCUCUGUAUCACACACACACACGUCCACUUCUCUUACAUUUCUUUAUUUAUUUAUUUCUUUCUUUUCAUUUGCUGCAAACCUCACACCUCAUCGAUCGCCACAACUGAUAUUCAAUUGCCGUUCUUCCAAUCUGCUCUGGUGAUGGUUGUGGAGAAGAGGAAGAUAAUAGGUCCGGUGAGGGUGGGUUCCUGUGGUUUGAGUCAUUUUAUCAGUUUAGUCCAAAGGUUUCAUUUUUAACCUGUGGGUCCAAA